CUAGCUCUAUGAUUUUAUAUUUUUUUAUUUACUAUUUUACAAUUUAAAAUAUAUCACUUUAAUAUUUUAUAAUUUCUCCUUUUUUUUCUAUUCUUUAUAUUAAUUUUUUUGUUAAUCAAUGAUAAAGUUAAAACUACAUAAUACUAAAAUAAAAAUUUGAUAAAUCAUAGAAUACUAAAGUAAAUAUUCGAUAAAUCAUAGAUAUGGUAUCUGAAGUUUUUUGUAUAUGAUUUAACGAAGAGGUAACGGAGGUACUGACGAAAAGAAAAAAAUUAAACUAUAAAAUACUAAAAUCAUACAUUUUAAAUUAUUGAAUACUAAAGUGAUGCGAAACCACAUGCGUGGUAUUAUAGGACCAUGCCGUUCACAUUUUCCAAUAUUAUUUUUUCAUCUUUGGUGCAUCAUAUAGAAUAUAAAAAUUUAUAUUCUUAAAAUUUUUUUUNUUUUGUAUAUGAUUUAACGAAGAGGUAACGGAGGUACUGACGAAAAGAAAAAAAUAAAACUAUAAAAUACUAAAAUGAUACAUUUUAAAUUAUUGAAUACUGAAGUGAAUAGGUGUGAAACCACAUGGAUGAUUUUGAAAUUACCCAUAAAUAAACCAUAGCUUACAUAGAAGGGUCGGUUUGUGAGAAAAAAUGCAAUAUAAAUGAUAAAAUUUAUAAUAAUGAGCAGGAGAAUAAUUUUAUGUAAAACGAAUGUUUUAAAAAAAUUUUAUUUUUGUAUUUGCAUGCAAUAUGAAGGUUU
RNAcentral lists this long non-coding RNA (744 nucleotides) under Ananas comosus (pineapple). RNAcentral's name for it is "long non-coding RNA (ACOM_LNC004795)". The record is from RNAcentral. Lineage: Eukaryota; Viridiplantae; Streptophyta; Magnoliopsida; Poales; Bromeliaceae.